Molecule: unclassified non-coding RNA, 850 nt
Filed under: Hevea brasiliensis (rubber tree)
Lineage: Eukaryota; Viridiplantae; Streptophyta; Magnoliopsida; Malpighiales; Euphorbiaceae
Source: RNAcentral
GGGUGGUGGUGGGGGGUUUUGGGGGAGAGAUAGGUGGAGGUGGGGAAAGCACUGCAACACAAGUACACAACAGGAUCACAAUAUAAAUUCAAUUCACUUAGUUCAAUUUUUCACACAAUUAGUUAGUGUACCUUGAAUAAAAUAAAAUUGCUAAACUAGAAUAGAACUUAAAACACUUAAAUAACAAAUAUGUUGUAAUGAUCAUAUUCUCAAUGGAAGAUAUCUCUCAGAACUAUACUAGCUUCCAUUUUAACUUCAAAGAUAGCCCUACCAUACAAGUAUCAGACAGUGUGAUGUUUUCCUUUUGACAACCACAACAAUUAAUGCUUCAGGAAAAAUCAAUAAUACAUUAUCUUAAUGUCAAAAACAGACUCUUGCACUAACACAUUCCAGCAACAACAAAACCAGACAUGUUAAGGGACUGGAAAUUACACACUACAAACCAUAAGAUGUUUCCAAAGCACUUUCAGCGUUAACAAUUAUGAAAAAGAAUAUCUAAAUUUUUGAAGGUCUACUUGGAGGAUUUGCAAAUCUAAGUUCUUAAAUUCCACUACAUUAAGCUCGAAUAGGCACUUAAUUCCACUUCCAGUAAUUUUAAAUUCAGCAACCUAAUAAAAACAAUAAAUCCCAAAAUGAGGAUGAUCUGUGAGGUUAUUUACAUUUUAUGGAGACUGAACUUUCAAAUUUUAGGAAAUCGACAUCCAAAAUACUUAAUGCCGAGAAGCCAUGUUACCAACAGUUUGUAGGAAAUAAUCAUAUGGAACAUGCAUGAUCAUUACUUAAAAAGAUAAGACCGUGACAAUAUGUCAAAGUUUGUUUAUCAUACUUUACUGCCGGCUCAUGAAAAUGC